RNAcentral lists this ribosomal RNA (433 nucleotides) under uncultured bacterium. RNAcentral's name for it is "partial 16S ribosomal RNA". It matches the Rfam family "Bacterial small subunit ribosomal RNA", at positions 29 to 507 of the family's 1533-position model. The record is from RNAcentral.
AACGAACGCUGGCGGCAUGCCUAACACAUGCAAGUCGAACGAGACCUUCGGGUCUAGUGGCGCACGGGUGCGUAACGCGUGGGAACCUGCCCUUAGGUUCGGAAUAACUCCCCGAAAGGGGUGCUAAUACCGGAUAAUGUUUUCGGACCAAAGAUUUAUCGCCUUUGGAUGGGCCCGCGUUGGAUUAGCUAGUUGGUAGGGUAAAAGCCUACCAAGGCGACGAUCCAUAGCUGGUCUGAGAGGAUGAUCAGCCACACUGGGACUGAGACACGGCCCAGACUCCUACGGGAGGCAGCAGUGGGGAAUAUUGGACAAUGGGCGAAAGCCUGAUCCAGCAAUGCCGCGUGAGUGAUGAAGGCCUUAGGGUUGUAAAGCUCUUUUACCCGGGAUGAUAAUGACAGUACCGGGAGAAUAAGUUCCGGCUAACUCCGUG